UGGGGAAUUUUGGACAAUGGGCGAAAGCCUGAUCCAGCAAUGCCGCGUGUGUGAAGAAGGCCUUCGGGUUGUAAAGCACUUUUGUCCGGAAAGAAAUCCUUGGCUCUAAUACAGUCGGGGGAUGACGGUACCGGAAGAAUAAGCACCGGCUAACUACGUGCCAGCAGCCGCGGUAAUACGUAGGGUGCAAGCGUUAAUCGGAAUUACUGGGCGUAAAGCGUGCGCAGGCGGUUUUGUAAGACGGAUGUGAAAUCCCCGGGCUUAACCUGGGAACUGCAUUCGUGACUGCAAGGCUAGAGUAUGGCAGAGGGGGGUAGAAUUCCACGUGUAGCAGUGAAAUGCGUAGAGAUGUGGAGGAAUACCGAUGGCGAAGGCAGCCCCCUGGGCCAAUACUGACGCUCAUGCACGAAAGCGUGGGGAGCAAACAGGAUUAGAUACCCUGGUAGUCCACGCCCUAAACGAUGUCAACUAGUUGUUGGGGAUUCAUUUCCUAGUAACGUAGCUAACGCGUGAAGUUGACCGCCUGGGGAGUACGUCGCAAGAUUAAAACUCAAAGGAAUUGACGGGGUCAUAGCUG
Molecule: ribosomal RNA, 577 nt
Filed under: uncultured bacterium
Lineage: Bacteria
Description: partial 16S ribosomal RNA
Rfam family: Bacterial small subunit ribosomal RNA
Source: RNAcentral